RNAcentral lists this ribosomal RNA (468 nucleotides) under uncultured bacterium. RNAcentral's name for it is "partial 16S ribosomal RNA". It matches the Rfam family "Bacterial small subunit ribosomal RNA", at positions 28 to 507 of the family's 1533-position model. The record is from RNAcentral.
GAUGAACGCUGGCGGCGUGCUUAACACAUGCAAGUCGAACGAAAAGACGCUGCUCUUGUUGGUUUCUCGAUAGGCGAGCGGGUGUGUAACACGUGAGUAUCCUGCCCUUGACUUUCGGAUAACUUCAGGAAACUGGGGCUCAUACCGGAUAUGAUCUCCUGCUGCAUGGGGUGCGUUGGAAAGUUUCGGCGGUUGGGGAUGGACUCGCUGCUUAUCAGCUUGUUGGUGUGGUAGUGGCUUACCAAGGCUUUGACGGGUCGCCGGCCUGGGAGGGUGACCGGCCACAUUGGGACUGAGGUACGGCGCAGACGGCAACGGGAGGCAGCAGUGGGGAAUAUUGCAGAAUGGGCGGAAGCCAGAUGCAGCAACGCCGCGUGCGGGAUGACGGGCUUCGGGUUGUAAACCGCUUUCGCAUGUGACGAAGCGUGAGUGACGGUAAUGGGUAAAGAAGCACCGGCUAACUACGUG